RNAcentral lists this ribosomal RNA (420 nucleotides) under Vermamoeba vermiformis. Its description in RNAcentral is "SSU rRNA". It matches the Rfam family "Eukaryotic small subunit ribosomal RNA", at positions 778 to 1193 of the family's 1831-position model. Lineage: Eukaryota; Tubulinea; Echinamoebida; Vermamoebidae. The record is from RNAcentral.
AAGCAGGCGUAACUCGCCUCCGAAUACGUUAGCAUGGGAUAAUGGAAUACGACUUCGGUCUUGUUUCGUUGGUUUCGCUUGGCUGAAGUAAUGAUUGAUAGGGACAGUUGGGGGCAUUAGUAUUUAGUUGUCAGAGGUGAAAUUCUAGGAUUUACUAAAGACUGACCAAUGCGAAAGCAUUUGCCAAGGAUGUUUUCAUUAAUCAAGAACGAAAGUAGGGGGAUCGAAGACGAUCAGAUACCGUCGUAGUCUCUACCGUAAACUAUGCCGACCAGGGAUCCGGAGAGUUUGCAUGGAUGACUCCCCGGGCACCUUGUGAGAAAUCAUAAGUGUUUGGGUUUUGGGGGGAGUAUGGUCGCAAGGCUGAAACUUAAAGGAAUUGACGGAAGGGCACCACCAGGAGUGGAACCUGCGGCUUAA